AUUGAACGCUGGAUGCAGGCCUAACACAUGCAAGUCGAGCGAGCGGCGGACGGGUGAGUAAUGUAUGGGGACUGCCCGCUAGAGGGGGGUAACUACUGGAAACGGUAGCUAAUACCGCAUACUAUCGGAUAACCCAUAUGGGAUUAGCUAGUAGGUGCGGUAAUGGCUCACCUAGGCGACGAUCCCUAGCUGGUCUGAGAGGAUGAUCAGCCACACUGGGACUGAGACACGGCCCAGACUCCUACGGAGGCAGCAGUGGGGAAUAUUGCACAAUGGACGAAAGCCUUAUGCAGCCAUGCCGCGGGUAUGAGGAAGGGCUGUGUAUAGUAGAGAGCUUUCAUGCGGGAGGCGUUACCGGCAGAAAAAGCACCGGCUGACUCCGUGUCAGCAGCCGCGGUAAUAC
RNAcentral lists this ribosomal RNA (403 nucleotides) under uncultured bacterium. RNAcentral describes it as "partial 16S ribosomal RNA". It matches the Rfam family "Bacterial small subunit ribosomal RNA", at positions 30 to 526 of the family's 1533-position model. The record is from RNAcentral.